Non-coding RNA from Favolaschia claudopus, 122 nucleotides. The record is from the annotation of a GenBank genome assembly. NCBI's taxonomy places the organism in Eukaryota, Fungi, Basidiomycota, Agaricomycetes, Agaricales, Mycenaceae.
GCUUUCGUGGUGUAGCGGUAACAUUGGGUCUUCCCAUCCCCUGGAAACGUGUUUCUUCUCUUAACCUUAAGAAACGCGUAUCUUGGUUGGCCUAGCUCCGGGUUCGACUCCCGGCGGACGCA